Molecule: long non-coding RNA, 209 nt
Filed under: Setaria italica (foxtail millet)
Lineage: Eukaryota; Viridiplantae; Streptophyta; Magnoliopsida; Poales; Poaceae
Description: long non-coding RNA (SITA_LNC002313)
Source: RNAcentral
GCCUGAGUUCUUUGUUUUGUAGAGCUUAAGAAGCAGGAAACGGCUGCAAGGAGCCAAGUUAUCGAUUGGAGGAACGCUCAUGACCGAGUGGCGGAUGAAGCCGAACAUCUUUGGGCCCCGCUCACGGAAGCACAGGCUGCUUGCGAGCAUCAGCGGGACCGAAAGAUGCAGAAUGGCGUGAUGCUUGCCAUGGCCAUGGUGGCAUGCAG